AUACGGAGGGUGCAAGCGUUGUUCGGAAUCACUGGGCGUAAAGGGCGCGCAGGCGGUUUGGUAAGUCAGAUGUGAAAGCCCAUGGCUCAACCAUGGCAGUGCAUUUGAAACUGUCAGACUUGAGUACUAGAGGGGAAAGUGGAAUUCCCGGUGUAGAGGUGAAAUUCGUAGAUAUCGGGAGGAAUACCGGUGGCGAAGGCGACUUUCUGGCUAGAUACUGACGCUGAGGCGCGAAAGCGUGGGGAGCAAACAGGAUUAGAUACCCCGGUAGUCC
This 274-nucleotide ribosomal RNA is filed under the name uncultured bacterium. RNAcentral's name for it is "partial 16S ribosomal RNA". It matches the Rfam family "Bacterial small subunit ribosomal RNA", at positions 523 to 796 of the family's 1533-position model. The record is from RNAcentral.